AUUGAACGCUAGCGGGAUGCUUAACACAUGCAAGUCGAACGAGUGGCGGACGGGUGAGUAAUAUCUUGGAAACUGCCUGGUGGAGGGGGAUAACUACUCGAAACAGUGGCUAAUACCGCAUCCCAUCGGAUUGGCCCAUAUGGGAUUAGCGAGUAGGUGGGGUAAAGGCUCACCAAGGCGACGAUCCGUAGCUGGUCUGAGAGGCUGACCAGCCAACAUGGAACUGAGACACGGCCCAGACUCCGACGGGAGGCAGCAGUGGGGAAUAUUGGACAAGGGGGGAAAGCCUGAUGCAGCCAUGCAGCGUGUAUGAUGAAGGCCUUCGGGUUGUAAAGUACUUUUAGCGGGGAGGCGUUAUCUGCAGAAGAAGCACCGGCUAACUACGUGCCAGCAGCCGCGGUAAUUC
Molecule: ribosomal RNA, 406 nt
Filed under: uncultured bacterium
Lineage: Bacteria
Description: partial 16S ribosomal RNA
Rfam family: Bacterial small subunit ribosomal RNA
Source: RNAcentral